Molecule: ribosomal RNA, 274 nt
Filed under: uncultured bacterium
Lineage: Bacteria
Description: partial 16S ribosomal RNA
Rfam family: Bacterial small subunit ribosomal RNA
Source: RNAcentral
AUACGGAGGGAGCGAGCGUUAAUCGGAAUUACUGGGCGUAAAGCGCGCGUAGGCGGCUUUGUAAGUCGGAUGUGAAAGCCCAGGGCUUAACCCUGGAAUUGCAUUCGAUACUGCAUGGCUAGAGUAUGGUAGAGGGAAGUGGAAUUUCCGGUGUAGCGGUGAAAUGCGUAGAUAUCGGAAGGAACACCAGUGGCGAAGGCGACUUCCUGGGCCAAUACUGACGCUGAGGUGCGAAAGCGUGGGGAGCAAACAGGAUUAGAAACCCCUGUAGUCC